This 427-nucleotide long non-coding RNA is filed under the name Panax ginseng (ginseng). RNAcentral's name for it is "long non-coding RNA (PGIN_LNC005972)". Lineage: Eukaryota; Viridiplantae; Streptophyta; Magnoliopsida; Apiales; Araliaceae. The record is from RNAcentral.
UGCACCUUUUAAGGAGAUGGCGUUGGACCCAAGUUAUGGUAAUUACCAUAUACUAGGAGUCCUAAUCUGACUGGGAGAAGGAUUCUAAGGUGGUGAGUACUAUAAAUAUGAGGCCUAGGUUAUCAUUAUGAGGUAAUACCUAUUUUGAGCACUAAAUACUUAUCCUCCAUUGUUAAACCUUGUAACGGCCUGUACUCAUUCUCACACCGGAGCUAUCCCCCGGCGGCAUAAGCCGUCAAGCUUCUGUGUGAUCCGUUACUGUGCAGGUUCUAGCGCGUGGAUUCUGUGAUUGGACGCGCCGGCGAAACUUGGCGUUAACAUUGGCGCUAGAAGGAGGGCAGUGCUUAAAUAACAAUCACAAUCGAACACUUUUCAGGGAAGGAACUAUGGCGAGUGUGGAGUAUGCAGUUUCCGACCGUGAAAAGGC